Molecule: transfer RNA, 72 nt
Filed under: Camelus bactrianus (Bactrian camel)
Lineage: Eukaryota; Metazoa; Chordata; Mammalia; Artiodactyla; Camelidae
Also listed under: 2 other names
Rfam family: tRNA
About the family: Transfer RNA (tRNA) molecules are approximately 80 nucleotides in length. Their secondary structure includes four short double-helical elements and three loops (D, anti-codon, and T loops). Further hydrogen bonds mediate the characteristic L-shaped molecular structure. tRNAs have two regions of fundamental functional importance: the anti-codon, which is responsible for specific mRNA codon recognition, and the 3' end, to which the tRNAs corresponding amino acid is attached (by aminoacyl-tRNA synthetases). tRNAs cope with the degeneracy of the genetic code in two manners: having more than one tRNA (with a specific anti-codon) for a particular amino acid; and 'wobble' base-pairing, i.e. permitting non-standard base-pairing at the 3rd anti-codon position.
Source: Rfam by way of RNAcentral
GAGGGUGUAGCUCCAUGGUAGAGUGUGAGCUUAGCAUACAGGAGAUCCUGGGUUCAAUCCCCAGUACCUCCA